AAGGGCACCACAAGAACGCGUGGAGCAUGUGGCUUAAUUUGACUCAACGCGGGGAAUCUUACCGGGUCCGGACACACUGAGGAUUGACAGGCGCAAGGAGCCUUGGCUCUGUAAAUUUGCUAGUCCUUUCAUGAUUGUGUGAUAGGUGGUGCAUGGCCGUUCUUAGUUCGUGGAAUAAUCUGUCUGCUUAAUUGCGUUUUUUCAAAUGUGCCUUGAUGCCCGUAUUGCCUUCUGCGUAUGUCAGGUGUCGGUUCACUUUCACGUGGGCUGGCCCUGAUGUGCCAGUUAGGUGGGUUGUCAGGGCCUUCUGAAACGAACGAGACCCCAACCCUUCUUUUUCAAUGUCAUACAACGAUUUGUUGUAAUUUUUUGUUUAUCAGCUUGCUGAUAAGCAUUCUACGACGUUGUUAACAGAAGGGGACUGUUGCGUUUUAACGUAAAGGAAGGUUGGGGCAAUAACAGGUCUGUGAUGCCCUUAGAUGUUCCGGGCUGCACACGUGCUACAAUGAUCUAUGCACUAAGCAUCUUUUAGUUCCGUAAUGUGCGUUCUCUUUUUUUGAGUUCGACACAUAUGCGGCAUGCCUACUUCGAGAGCUAGUAGGUAAUCACUUGGUAAUAUAGAUUUCCUUUGCAUUGUAGCAUCGGACCUACUUGUUAGGUUUCGGUGUUACUUGUUUUCGAAUUAUGACUUCUUAGUGGGGACAGACCAUUGUUAAUUGUUGGUCUCGCUUUAACUAGGAAUGCCUUGUACAGGUGGUUCAACAGACCGCCUGGAAUACGUCCCUGCCCUUUGUACACACCGCCCGUCA
RNAcentral lists this ribosomal RNA (809 nucleotides) under Allogromida sp. orange_long_pods. Its description in RNAcentral is "SSU rRNA". It matches the Rfam family "Eukaryotic small subunit ribosomal RNA", at positions 1160 to 1678 of the family's 1831-position model. Lineage: Eukaryota; Foraminifera. The record is from RNAcentral.